AGAGUGAACGCUGGCGGUAGGCCUAACACAUGCAAGUCGAACGGCAGCACAGUGGUAGCAAUACCAUGGGUGGCGAGUGGCGGACGGGUGAGGAAUACAUCGGAAUCUACCUUUUCGUGGGGGAUAACGUAGGGAAACUUACGCUAAUACCGCAUACGCCCUUUGGGGGAAAGCCGGGGAUCGCAAGACCUGGCGCGGAUAGAUGAGCCGAUGUCGGAUUAGCUAGUUGGUGAGGUAACGGCUCACCAAGGCGACGAUCCGUAGCUGGUCUGAGAGGAUGAUCAGCCACACUGGAACUGAGACACGGUCCAGACUCCUACGGGAGGCAGCAGUGGGGAAUAUUGGACAAUGGGCGCAAGCCUGAUCCAGCCAUACCGCGUGGGUGAAGAAGGCCUUCGGUGUAAAGCCCGUUUUGUAGGUAAAGAAAGCAAUACGGUUAAUACCCGGUUAGUUCUGGUCGGCACCCGAAAGAAUAAGCACCGGCUAACCUUCGCCGCCACGCAGCCGCGGUAAU
RNAcentral lists this ribosomal RNA (514 nucleotides) under uncultured soil bacterium. RNAcentral's name for it is "bacterial SSU rRNA". It matches the Rfam family "Bacterial small subunit ribosomal RNA", at positions 26 to 524 of the family's 1533-position model. The record is from RNAcentral.